Molecule: long non-coding RNA, 246 nt
Filed under: Lathyrus oleraceus (garden pea)
Lineage: Eukaryota; Viridiplantae; Streptophyta; Magnoliopsida; Fabales; Fabaceae
Description: Pisum sativum (pea) long non-coding RNA (PSAT_LNC004423)
Source: RNAcentral
UUCACUACCAUUAUCAAGUUUGAAUCCUUCUUUCAUUCUUGAAGUUGUCAACUACUAGAUUUCUUUAAGAAAACUUUCUUUUAGCCAUUUCAAGAACACCAACUUUCUUUCAUUUUUUCAUUCUUGAAGUUAGAAUCCUUCUUUCAUUCUUGAAUGCUUCUCACAUUCUCAUAUUCACUCAAGAGUUUAUAGGCAAUCGCUCAAUCACAUAAACUACCAUUUAACAAUAAUCUUGUAAUAAUUUUC